RNAcentral lists this ribosomal RNA (265 nucleotides) under uncultured bacterium. Its description in RNAcentral is "partial 16S ribosomal RNA". It matches the Rfam family "Bacterial small subunit ribosomal RNA", at positions 428 to 710 of the family's 1533-position model. The record is from RNAcentral.
AAGCUCUAUCAGCAGGGAAGAAAAUGACGGUACCUGACUAAGAAGCCCCGGCUAACUACGUGCCAGCAGCCGCGGUAAUACGUAGGGGGCAAGCGUUAUCCGGAUUUACUGGGUGUAAAGGGAGCGUAGACGGCAUGGCAAGCCAGAUGUGAAAGCCCGGGGCUCAACCCCGGGACUGCAUUUGGAACUGUCAGGCUAGAGUGUCGGAGAGGAAAGCGGAAUUCCUAGUGUAGCGGUGAAAUGCGUAGAUAUUAGGAGGAACACC